GACGAACCGUGCAAACGUUGUUCGGAAUCACUGGGCUUAAAGGGCGCGUAGGCGGGUCACCAAGUCUGUGGUGAAAGCCUCCAGCUUAACUGGAGAAGUGCCGUGGAUACUGGUGGUCUCGAGGGAGGUAGGGGCAUGUGGAACUUCCGGUGGAGCGGUGAAAUGCGUAGAUAUCGGAAGGAACGCCGGUGGCGAAAGCGACGUGCUGGACCUCUUCUGACGCUGAGGCGCGAAAGCUAGGGGAGCGAAUGGG
RNAcentral lists this ribosomal RNA (253 nucleotides) under uncultured bacterium. RNAcentral describes it as "partial 16S ribosomal RNA". It matches the Rfam family "Bacterial small subunit ribosomal RNA", at positions 524 to 776 of the family's 1533-position model. The record is from RNAcentral.